GCGAGAGUGGUGGAAUCUGGUAGACACGCAAGCUUGAGGUGCUUGUGGAAGAAAUUCCGUGGGGGUUCAAAUCCCCCCUCUCGCA
This 85-nucleotide transfer RNA is filed under the name Deltaproteobacteria bacterium. Its description in RNAcentral is "tRNA-Leu". It matches the Rfam family "tRNA". From Rfam's summary of the family: Transfer RNA (tRNA) molecules are approximately 80 nucleotides in length. Their secondary structure includes four short double-helical elements and three loops (D, anti-codon, and T loops). Lineage: Bacteria; Pseudomonadati; Myxococcota; Myxococcia. The record is from RNAcentral.